Brassica oleracea var. oleracea is the source of this 624-nucleotide long non-coding RNA. RefSeq lists it as uncharacterized. The record is from RefSeq and is a predicted model, not a curated record. The transcript has 3 exons. NCBI's taxonomy places the organism in Eukaryota, Viridiplantae, Streptophyta, Magnoliopsida, Brassicales, Brassicaceae.
CCAGUGGAGCAUGUCACUUCCAAAAUUUGUUCUGGCUCCAUCACCUCAUUCUUCGGGAAGCUCGUGAUGGCUAAUUAAGGUCUCUCUACCUCUCGAUGUCUCAGUGAGUUUGACGGUCCUUUUUGAUACUGGAAGCUUGGAUAUGUGGGUACCUAAUCCAGGUUGGAGGAGUCGCGAUUGUCUAAAAUAUAUAUCUGGGGAAUCAUCAAAUUACAAACAGAAAGGUACGUAUUCCUCUAAUGGUCUCAUUUUUGGCAAUAUCCAUGGAGCAUGAUUAAUGUCUAACUUUAGAUAUUAUAAGAGCAUCAACAAAUCUCGCAUAUGGUGAUGAUAAUAAAACUCACGGAUUACCUUUGCAAAUAUGAUGUAACGACUGGUGACAUUCUUUUUCUUUUGUAACUUAGACUGGUGACAUUCUUGUGAAGCAACAAGUAAGACUGAUCUUACAUUUACUUGGAUUGAUUUUAUUCGUUUCUAUUUGAGGUUACUGGGAAAGCUAAAAGAAGUCCGCCUUUAAUGGAACCUUUCGAUGGUCUUCUUGGGUUGGAUUCCAACAAAAUUCUUUGAAAGAGUCACACACCAUUUGAUGAAGAAAAUGGAGUCAUCAUUUUCGGGGGACUGGAC